CAGUAGCCGCGGGAAUACGGAGGGUGCAAGCGUUAAUCGGAAUUACUGGGCGUAAAGCGCACGCAGGCGGUCUGACAAGUCAGAUGUGAAAUCCCCGGGCUUAACCUGGGAACUGCAUUUGAAACUGUCAGGCUGGAGUCUUGUAGAGGGGGGUAGAAUUCCAGGUGUAGCGGUGAAAUGCGUAGAGAUCUGGAGGAAUACCGGUGGCGAAGGCGGCCCCCAGGACAAAGACUGACGCUCAGGUGCGAAAGCGUGGGGAGCAAACAGGAUUAGAUACCCCGGUAGUCCCUGUCUCUUAUAC
RNAcentral lists this ribosomal RNA (301 nucleotides) under uncultured bacterium. RNAcentral describes it as "partial 16S ribosomal RNA". It matches the Rfam family "Bacterial small subunit ribosomal RNA", at positions 509 to 807 of the family's 1533-position model. The record is from RNAcentral.